RNAcentral lists this ribosomal RNA (429 nucleotides) under Chloroflexota bacterium. RNAcentral's name for it is "Chloroflexi bacterium partial 16S ribosomal RNA". It matches the Rfam family "Bacterial small subunit ribosomal RNA", at positions 355 to 776 of the family's 1533-position model. The record is from RNAcentral. Lineage: Bacteria; Bacillati; Chloroflexota.
UGGGGAAUAUUGCACAAUGGGCGCAAGCCUGAUGCAGCCAUGCCGCGUGUGUGAAGAAGGCCUUCGGGUUGUAAAGCACUUUCAGCGGGGAGGAAGGCGAUAAGGUUAAUAACCUUGUCGAUUGACGUUACCCGCAGAAGAAGCACCGGCUAACUCCGUGCCAGCAGCCGCGGUAAUACGGAGGGUGCAAGCGUUAAUCGGAAUUACUGGGCGUAAAGCGCACGCAGGCGGUCUGUCAAGUCGGAUGUGAAAUCCCCGGGCUUAACCUGGGAACUGCAUUCGAAACUGGCAGGCUAGAGUCUUGUAGAGGGGGGUAGAAUUCCAGGUGUAGCGGUGAAAUGCGUAGAGAUCUGGAGGAAUACCGGUGGCGGAGGCGGCCCCCUGGACAAAGACUGACGCUCAGGUGCGAAAGCGUGGGGGGCAAACAGG